GGCGGGUGAGGGGGUUG
RNAcentral lists this microRNA (17 nucleotides) under Macrophomina phaseolina MS6. RNAcentral describes it as "miR-3656". The record is from RNAcentral. Lineage: Eukaryota; Fungi; Ascomycota; Dothideomycetes; Botryosphaeriales; Botryosphaeriaceae.